GUACAAGUCACCACCUCCUCCACCAAUUGAGCACAAACCACCACCUUAUGAGUAUAAAUCACCACCUCCACCACCACAUGAGCACAAGGCUCCUCCGUACGAGUAUAAGUCACCCCCUCCGCCAUCACCAUCACCUCCACCACCUUAUGAGUAUAAAUCACCACCUCCACCACCACAUGAGCACAAGGCUCCUCCGUACGAGUAUAAGUCACCCCCUCCGCCAUCACCAUCACCUCCACCACCUUAUGAGUAUAAAUCACCACCUCCACCACCACAUGAGCACAAGGCUCCUCCGUACGAGUAUAAGUCACCCCCUCCGCCAUCACCAUCACCACCACCUCCUUAUGAGUAUAAAUCACCACCUCCCCCACCACAUGAGCACAAGGCUCCUCCGUACGAGUAUAUUUCACCACCCCCACCAUCACCAUCACCACCACCUCCUUAUGAGUAUAAAUCACCACCUCCACCACCACAUGAGCACAAGGCUCCUCCUUAUGAGUACAAGUCACCACCACCUCCAUACGUAUACAAGUCACCACCUCCACCACCAUAUGAACACAAGGUUCCUCCCUACGAGUACAAGUCACCACCUCCACCAUCACCAUCACCACCACCUCCUUACAUAUACAAAUCACCACCUCCACCACCACCAUAUGAGCAUAAGUCUCCUCCUUAUGUGUACAAGUCCCCUCCCCCACCACCAUAUGAGCACAAGUCUCCACCUUACGUAUAUAAGUCACCCCCUCCUCCUUCACCGUCACCACCACCCCCAUAUGUAUAUAAGUCACCACCACCUCCACCACCAUACGAGCAUAAGUCUCCUCCUUAUGUGUACAAGUCACCUCCUCCUCCACCACCAUAUGAACACAAAUCUCCACCCUACUAUUACAGCUCUCCUCCUCCACCUCCUUACUACUAUAAAUCUCCCCCACCACCUUCACCAUCUCCUCCACCACCUUAUUAUUAUGAGUCUCCACCACCACCAGUAAAGUCUCCAUCUCCAAAGCCUUACUAUUAUAAAUCUCCUCCACCACCAUCUCCUGUACCCCAUCCACCUUACUACUACAACUCUCCUCCUCCACCAUCUCCUUCACCUCCUCCACCUUACUAUUAUAAUUCUCCACCACCUCCUUCACCGUCUCCUCCACCACCGUACUACUAUAAAUCUCCUCCUCCUCCAUCUCCUAAACCGCACCCCCCUUACUACUAUAACUCUCCACCACCUCCAGUAAAAUCUCCACCUCAUCCAACACCUUACUACUACAAAUCUCCACCACCACCCACUCCAUACUAUUAUAAUUCUCCUCCUCCACCUGUCGUGUAUCCUCCACAUCCCCACCAUCACCCAUUGAUUGUGAAGGUUGUGGGCAAAGUCUACAGCUAUAAGUGCUAUGACUGGGAGUAUCCUGAAAAGUCACACAACAAGAAGCAUCUCAAAGGUACACGACAUUCUCUACGUCAUUUUUUAGUUCGAAAGUCUUAUUAUUGUUACAAUUGAAUUGUCAAUUCUUAUGCUUUUGAGCAUUGCUCGUUAUUAUCUUCAUUUGGCAUUCACUUUUUUUCGUUAGAGAAUGCACGUCUUUGUCUAGUAGAACUUGUGCUUCAUUUUACACAAGCAUUUGCUAUUAGUACUCACAGUAUUUUGUCGCUAAACUUUUCGUGAUGCUUGCAGUUCCAAUCAUAUUAGAUAACUCUAGAGCAUGUAGAAAUUAAAUGUUAGAAUGCAUUAACUUAAUUUAUCUUGAACCGACCACCUAAUCGGAAAACCAAAAUGAAUGCAUUAAUAUUUGAUGCUUAAAUUAGUAAAGUGUCAAUUAGACUUUUUAAUAAUGUAUAGAAUUGGAGAACCUUUUGUUACAGUUGAUAGGUAAGAUACAAUCAAUGUCUCAAUGUACAUUCACCAUCACAUUACUAAAAAAGAACCUUUUCUUAUUCAAAACUGGUUGUAGCAUGUAAUUAACACCAACACUCAACAUGAAAAUGAUAGUUUUCUUUUUCUUCAUAAAUAAACAUGAAAAGGAUAGUUUAACUCGAGAUUCUUUUUAUAAUUUGCUCCAAUAUAAUAUCUUUGGUGGAUUUAUGAUAUCUUGUCGUAUUAUUGUUUGCUAAUUGUAAUAUUUCAAUUAUGGAUCAGGUGCUGUUGUGGAGGUCAAAUGCAAAGCAGGCAGACACAUCAUCAAGGCUUACGGGGAAACUAAGAGCAAUGGAAAGUAUAGCAUUACAGUUAAGGACUUUGACUAUGCUAAAUAUGGCUCCAGGGUAUGCAAGGCUAGGUUACAUGCUCCACCUAAGAACUCACCCUUCAACAUACCCACUAAGCUAAACGAAGGAACCGACUUGAAGGUGAAAUCAAAGGACAAAUAUGAAGUUGUGCUUGAAGCUAAGCCAUUUGCCUAUGCUUCAAAGAAACAUUUUGAAGAAUGUGAAAAAUCCAAGCCUUCACCAACUCCCUACUAUUAUAAAUCACCACCACCUCCAUCACCGGUUUACAUAUACAAGUCUCCACCUCCACCAUCACCUACAUAUGUAUACAAGUCACCACCUCCACCAGUUCACCACUAUUCUCCUCCGUACUAUUACCAAUCCCCACCACCACCUUCACCAAAACCCAAUCCUCCAUAUUACUACCAAUCCCCACCUCCACCUUCACCAAAACCCAAGCCUCCGUACUACUACCAAUCUCCACCUCCACCAACACCAGUAGUAAAGCCACCUUACUACUACCAAUCUCCACCUCCACCAUCACCGGUACCCAAACCUCCAUACUACUACCAAUCACCACCUCCACCAUCACCAAAACCCAAGCCUCCAUACUACUACCAAUCCCCACCUCCACCAACACCAGUAGUAAAGCCACCUUACUACUACCAAUCUCCACCUCCACCAUCACCGGUACCCAAACCUCCAUACUACUACCAAUCACCACCUCCACCAUCACCAAAACCCAAGCCUCCAUACUACUACCAAUCCCCACCUCCUCCAUCACCAGUACCUAAGCCUCCAUACUACUACCAAUCUCCACCACCCCCAUCACCAGUACCCAAGCCUCCAUACUAUUACCAAUCUCCACCUCCACCUUCACCGAAACCCAAGCCUCCGUACUAUUACCAAUCCCCACCACCACCUUCACCAAAACCAAAGCCUCCGUACUAUUACCAAUCCCCACCUCCACCAUCGCCAGUACCCAAGCCUCCGUACUACUACCAAUCUCCGCCUCCACCAUCACCGGUACCUAAACCUCCAUACUACUACCAAUCUCCACCUCCACCAUCACCAGUAACAAAGCCUCCGUACUAUUACCAAUCUCCGCCUCCACCAUCACCGGUACCUAAACCUCCAUACUACUAUCAAUCUCCACCUCCACCUUCACCAAAACCCAAGCCUCCGUACUAUUACCAAUCCCCACCUCCACCUUCACCUAAACCCAAGCCUCCUUACUACUACCAAUCCCCACCUCCUCCGUCACCGGUGCCUAAACCUCCAUACUAUUACCAAUCUCCACCUCCACCAUCACCAUCACCCCCACCACCUUAUUAUUACCAUUCUCCUCCUCCACCAUCACCAUCUCCCCCUCCUCCUUACUACUAUAAGAGUCCUCCCCCACCAUCUCCAUCACCUCCUCCUCCAUACUAUUAUAAAUCUCCACCACCACCUAAAGAAUUGCCACACCCUCCUUACUAUUAUAAGUCACCACCCCCACCAUCACCAUCACCUCCUCAUCCAUACUAUUACAAAUCUCCUCCACCACCGUCACCAUCUCC
RNAcentral lists this long non-coding RNA (3761 nucleotides) under Arachis ipaensis. Its description in RNAcentral is "long non-coding RNA (AIPA_LNC002325)". The record is from RNAcentral. Lineage: Eukaryota; Viridiplantae; Streptophyta; Magnoliopsida; Fabales; Fabaceae.